RNAcentral lists this ribosomal RNA (553 nucleotides) under uncultured bacterium. Its description in RNAcentral is "partial 16S ribosomal RNA". It matches the Rfam family "Bacterial small subunit ribosomal RNA", at positions 355 to 900 of the family's 1533-position model. The record is from RNAcentral.
UGGGGAAUUUUGGACAAUGGGCGAAAGCCUGAUCCAGCAAUGCCGCGUGUGUGAAGAAGGCCUUCGGGUUGUAAAGCACUUUUGUCCGGAAAGAAAUCCUUGGCUCUAAUACAGUCGGGGGAUGACGGUACCGGAAGAAUAAGCACCGGCUAACUACGUGCCAGCAGCCGCGGUAAUACGUAGGGUGCAAGCGUUAAUCGGAAUUACUGGGCGUAAAGCGUGCGCAGGCGGUUUGCUAAGACCGAUGUGAAAUCCCCGGGCUCAACCUGGGAACUGCAUUGGUGACUGGCAGGCUAGAGUAUGGCAGAGGGGGGUAGAAUUCCACGUGUAGCAGUGAAAUGCGUAGAGAUGUGGAGGAAUACCGAUGGCGAAGGCAGCCCCCUGGGCCAAUACUGACGCUCAUGCACGAAAGCGUGGGGAGCAAACAGGAUUAGAUACCCUGGUAGUCCACGCCCUAAACGAUGUCAACUAGUUGUUGGGGAUUCAUUUCCUUAGUAACGUAGCUAACGCGUGAAGUUGACCGCCUGGGGGAGUACGGUCGCAAGAUUAAAAC